ACGCUCGACACCUACGGGAAGCAGCAGUGGGGAAUAUUGCACAAUGGGGGAAACCCUGAUGCAGCGACGCCGCGUGAGCGAAGAAGUAUUUCGGUAUGUAAAGCUCUAUCAGCAGGGAAGAAACUGACGGUACCUGACUAAGAAGCACCGGCUAAAUACGCGCCAGCAGCCGCGGUAAUCUGAGCGGGCUGGCAAGGC
RNAcentral lists this ribosomal RNA (198 nucleotides) under uncultured bacterium. Its description in RNAcentral is "partial 16S ribosomal RNA". It matches the Rfam family "Bacterial small subunit ribosomal RNA", at positions 326 to 539 of the family's 1533-position model. The record is from RNAcentral.